RNAcentral lists this non-coding RNA (45 nucleotides) under Schistosoma curassoni. The record is from RNAcentral. Lineage: Eukaryota; Metazoa; Platyhelminthes; Trematoda; Strigeidida; Schistosomatidae.
GCACUGGUGAGGAGUCCAUACUAGGACGAAACGGCCGUCCAGUGC